UACGUAGGGGGCAAGCGUUGUCCGGAUUUAUUGGGCGUAAAGAGCGUGUAGGCGGUUAGGUAGGUCCGUUGUGAAAACUCGAGGCUCAACCUCGAGACGCCGAUGGAAACCAUCUGACUAGAGUCCGGAAGAGGAGAGUGGAAUUCCUGGUGUAGCGGUGAAAUGCGCAGAUAUCAGGAAGAACACCCGUGGCUAAGGCGGUUGGCUGGGCCGUUGCUGACACUGAUGCGCGACAGCGUGGGGAGCAAACAGG
Molecule: ribosomal RNA, 253 nt
Filed under: uncultured bacterium
Lineage: Bacteria
Description: partial 16S ribosomal RNA
Rfam family: Bacterial small subunit ribosomal RNA
Source: RNAcentral